Molecule: ribosomal RNA, 264 nt
Filed under: uncultured Atopobium sp.
Lineage: Bacteria; Bacillati; Actinomycetota; Coriobacteriia; Coriobacteriales; Atopobiaceae
Description: partial 16S ribosomal RNA
Rfam family: Bacterial small subunit ribosomal RNA
Source: RNAcentral
UAAAGUGGCGAACGGCUGAGUAACACGUGGGCAACCUGCCCUUUGCACUGGGAUAGCCUCGGGAAACCGAGGUUAAUACCGGAUACUCCAUAUUUGUCGCAUGGCGAAUAUGGGAAAAGCUCCGGCGGCAAGGAUGGGCCGCGGCCUGUUAGCUAGUUGGUGGGGUAGUGGCCUACCAAGGCAAUGAUGGGUAGCCGGGUUGAGAGACCGACCGGCCAGAUUGGGACUGAGACACGGCCCAGACUCCUACGGGAGGCAGCAGCC